AAGUUAUUAAAUAACUCUUUCUUAUAUUUUCAAAAUAUAUGCUUUAUUGAGAUAAGCUAAAUAACU
This 66-nucleotide transfer RNA is filed under the name Graminella mohri. Its description in RNAcentral is "tRNA-Ser". Lineage: Eukaryota; Metazoa; Arthropoda; Insecta; Hemiptera; Cicadellidae. The record is from RNAcentral.